This 2253-nucleotide ribosomal RNA is filed under the name Triticum aestivum (bread wheat). RNAcentral's name for it is "partial small subunit ribosomal RNA". The record is from RNAcentral. Lineage: Eukaryota; Viridiplantae; Streptophyta; Magnoliopsida; Poales; Poaceae.
AUGGGAGCAGCCUUGUCCAUCUCCGCCAUCGACGCACUAGCCAGAGCGAUCAAGAACCACGCGCCUCAGAGGUGGUUAACUUCUCCCCAUCAUGGCACCGCCGAUUGGUCUGGCCUGCCGGAGGACCUCCUCCUGACCGUCAUGGCAGAGCUGGAUGUCCCCAGCAUUAUCCGAUCCGGCGCCGUCUGCACAUCCUGGCACCACGCCUACGAGACCUUCCGCCGCCUCCGCCUCCCCUUGCCGAAACAGGCCCCUUGUCUGUUCUACUCCUGCGACGAGUACGGGCCCAACUACGCCGCCCUGUAUUGCCCCUCCACCAACGCCACGUUCCGUGUCCCCUUUCAAAGGCCCCUCGAACAGAGCCGGGGAUUCGUCUCCUCUUGUCACGGCUGGGUUUUCGCCACCGACGAGUCAGGGGACCCAUACCUUCUCAACCCUAUUAUUGGCUCCCGGGCCGCACUACCACCGUCCGUGACAAUCUACCACGGGGAGAGCCGCUAUGACCAGGACCAUAAGCGUGCCCUGAAGGCUCGACUGGAAAACAGAUCCCACAACCCCAUGAUCACCUGGGCAUGGCAUUCGGGGUAUAUCCGGGUUGCCAUCUCCACUGCCACCGAGAUAGCCGCAUGCACCGUGGUAAUCGUGCAUACCCCAGACGAGUGGAGGCUCUCCUUUGCUAGGCCCGGUGACAAGCAGUGGACAUUGCUCCCUAGCGACCAAGGCUUCAUAGAUGUUCUUUACAAUGAUAAGGACGGCUUGUUCUACGCUCUAGGUUAUGAUAGUUCUGUUUACACGUUAGAUCUCAAUGGGCCUUUGCCGAUGGUGACGAUGAUCAUGCGUGGCGUGUCAGCCUGGGGCAACCCUACCAAGUAUCUCGCAUUCUCCCCAUCAGGUGAACUCCAGCAAGUCUGGAGGAUCUGGAAUUGCGCAGAUGUUCCAAUCAAAGAUAUGGUCGAUGAAGGCGGUGUAGAUUUGGCCAACGAAUAUGACGACGACAAGUUCAGUGAGCUGUUUGAAGAGGAUUAUAAGUUCACUACGGUGAAGCUCUUCAUUUUCAAGGUUGACAUUGGCAGGCAGAAGCUGGUGGAGCUACGGGAUAUUGGAGACCACGCGCUAUUCCUCGGCUACAACAAUAUCGUGUAUGUUCCCACUAAGGACUUUUCGGCGUUCCAACCAAACCAUGCUUACCUCACGGAUGACCGUUUUCUAUGGAAGCCAACAUUGAAAGAGGACCUGGGUAUUUGGAGCUUCAAGGAGAGGAGUAUGCAGAAACUUCAGGAUGCAUGGCCAUGCAUGUAUUCUUGGCUAGAUUUACCAGCUCCGAUUUGGAUCACGCCAAGGGAGGAUUCAGACUUGUACUCUAGCUACUUUUACGGUUUUACCUGCCUGCCUCCCUCUACUGCUCGUCAUCGAUCGCGACACCUAGACUGGUACGAGAAGUCGACGACACAGACGACCCCCGGCGACGGCACCACCGAGUCUUCAUCAGGUUCAGCGCGGUGGUCCGACCUCCCCGACGACCUCCUCGGCAAUAUCCACGUCAGGAUCGCCACCCUGCACGACCACGUGCUCCUCGCCGCCGUCUGCAGGUCGUGGCGCGCAGCCACUGCGCGGCUCCCGGCGCCUCCGGCCGUCCCGCUGCUGCUCAUCUCGCCGUGCAGCAACCGAUCCAGUGGGAGGAAGCACCUGUGCGGGCCUGACUACGCCUGGGCCACGCGCGUCCCGAACAAGGUGGAGAACAAGUUGUUCGUCGGCUCGCACGAUGGCGGCUGGAUCGCCGCCUUCGACAACCGCGAGCUCACGCUCGUGAACCGUGACAACUUGGCACAAGAAGAUGUUCGCGGACAUCACUUUCUGCGACGGACCCGAUGGUUGCCCGACCGCGAGCCUUUCUUCAAGGUCUUCAUGCUAGUCGACGCAAACCCCGGCGGCAUCUACUGGCACAAGUGGGCUGAGGUGAAGAGCUUUGGUGAGUAUGCCUUGUUCUUGGGGCCAACAAGGUCUAAAGCGGUGCACGUGCCUGUUGGCGCCGAGCGCUGCGGUCUAGUGAGAAACCGCAUCUAUUACUCGAAAGCUACCCGCUCUAAAGAACAUGAGUUGCGUGGCAACGAAUUGUACACGGUGGAAUUGGAAUGUGGUGACCACAUGUGUUGUAGGGAAGACCAAAGUAUCGCUGAUGGCCUAGAGAGGACAGGAUACUACAUGAUGGGUUGGGACUAUGCUUCAAUGUGGGUACACCCUUCAGAGUUGUAA